ACCAGAGUCUGUUUCGUAACUAAUGCAUCACUUUUAAAGACAAAGCUUAAUUGGCAUUUCCUCCAUGAGAUUUUCCUGUUCACUCACCCUAUCCCAACACCUCAACAGAAAGAACCCACCUUCUCUAUCCAAGGGUACUCUGAAGUCACUGCCUAUUCUAAAGAGAGGGCAAACAGGGCCAGGGAUGUAGCUCAGUGGCACAAUGCCUGCCUGGCAAGUGCCAGGUCCUGAGUUCAAUGCCUGGUACCAAAAAAAAAAAGAGAGAGAGAGAGGGCAAACAUAUGCUUUCUUCACUGGCACCCUGAGGAUACUAAAACUAUACGAAAUAUGUUAAUAAAUAAUAAAAUGAGUUUAGCUUUGAUGAACAGCCAGAAUUAUAUAAUCAAAAAAUCAAGAAAUAAUUUAUUUUCAGCACAUGUCCUUUUCUUGUCAUUUCAAAACAUAAAAUAUUAUUUUGAAACGCAUUUGGAGGGAGUGGAGGGCACAGUAACGUUUCAGUCCUUAGGGCUGCUAAAGACCUUAAUCGAAUGCGUUGGUAUUCCCCAAAUUAUUUCAUCACCGCUCUGGCUGCAUUUACGGCAACCCUCCACAGUCCUGCCCUACUCCCUACCAAACACCCUGAGCACUUCCAGGGACCCGUUAUUUUUAUUUCACUCACUUCAUCUUGAUUGUGCACCUUUCGUUAUUCAUCGAACACCAUGCUGGGUACCUGAGGAUGCCAUGGAUACACUUCAGAUCUCAACACCGGCCAGUAGCCAGGUAGCAGGUGAGAGGGUGACAGUUCCAUCCAUGCCUCCGUGUGGGUGGACGUGGCUGGGGAAGAAGAGGCACCAUUCUUCUGUACCUUCCUCAGCACAUGGCUCAGAAAGUUUGAGCAUUAUACCAAGUUUUCGCAGCCGUGGAAGGGCUAUUUCACACACAUGAAAGGGGAAGCCCUACCCUCCAGCCAGCCACGCUGGGUUUUCCCAGUUCCUUGACCCUCCCACCAUAUCCCACUCUCUUUCAAAGGGUCUUAGUAUAUGAUAUUCCCUCUGCUCUAAGACCCUCUUCUUCAACUCCUUUUCUGUGGUUCUUUCACCUAACUGAUGCAUUCCCCCUCUAAAGUCUGGCUUAGCAUCGAUUCUCUGGGAGACCUCUAUUUCUCAUACCAAGUCGAGUCCCUACAAUCUGGCAUCUGCCCUUUAGACUUUUCCUUUAUAGCAUUUGUUGCAAGUGUAAUUGGUUAAUUAUUUUUUACUAUCGAUUUUCCUUGCUAAAACAUCAGCCCCGUGGGAGAGGUGUGCUGCCUUGUUCACUGCCUGUUUUAGGGCCUGGCGCAUAGACUAUGCCAAGCAAAUCUGCACAAAUAAACACAUGAAUGAACAGCAGAGCAAACAAAACAGGAAAUCCACAAAAACCUACAGUAGAAAGGAGCCUAGUUUCCCUUCAUAAGCGAGCAAAUAGGGUAUUGCAGUUGUUUAAUUUGUUUUGUUGGGCAAACACUUUCAUAGAAUUUUGACAACAACCAAAGGCAAGUACAGCUCUACGGAAAGGUUAGAAAGAGGUAAUGUUUCCUUCAUACACUUUCACUUUGACUCAUCAGAUACUGAAGCUAAACCUGGAAACUUUGUUGUAUGUUUACAAGAGAGAGUACAGACUUGGAAUCCAUUUCAAGGGAAGAAUCCCAUUAAAAGUGUAGAUUUAUUUUCAUCUUCCUUGAGUGUAAGGAAAGUACUGUACACUAAACUUACACUGCUUGAGAGAAUGACUAGCUAAUUGCUACUUUUAUCUCUGAAAGAAAGCUGUUAGUUUUCUCAAGUGUAAUACGAAGAUGUAUUCAAGUGUGGAGUAGACAGUGAGCAAAGACGAUCAUGGUCAGGUUCCUUCUUUCCUGUGCAUAUGUGAGACCUCUCUCUGCAAGAGGUAGAGUCCAUUUCCCCUUUCAUUGAAUUUCCAUGAAUUGUGAUUUUUCUUGACCAGUAAAAUGUGGCAGAAGUGACAAUGUGCCAGUCCUUGGCAUAUCCUUUACGAGGCUUAAUGACCUAUUUUUGGGGGGAUAGUACUGGGAAUGAACCCAGGGCCUUCGCACUGAACUACAUCCUCAGGCUCCUACUUCCUUUUGUUUUUUGUUUUUUGUUUUGGUACCGGGAUUGAACCUGGGUCCUUGAGCUUGUGGGGCAGGCAGUGGAACCACUGAGCUAAAUCUCCAGCACCCCCACUUCCUUUUUAUCUUUAAUUUUGAGACAGAGGCUCACUAAGUCAUUCAGCUGCCCAGGCUGGGCUCAAACUUGCCAACUCUUGCCUUAGCCUCUCAGAGUACUGAGAUUACAGGCAUGGGGGCACUGUGCUCGGCUCGGCUCCCACUUUUGAGGAAGUGGCCAGCCUGCUGUACAAAAGCUAGGAUGAGAGUGUGGGAUGAGACUGCAUGAAAGAGAGAAAUCAGGUGGAAGAGCACUGAAGUACGGGAUGUUCAAGCAAGGCCUUCUUCAAGCUCCUGACGGCCCAUUUGCAACUGAAUACGAAGAAGCAGGCAGCUCCAGGAUCUGUCCAUCAAGCACAGUCACCUUAAGCCUUGCUUGAAGUCCUGACCCAUGGACUCAGGGACAAUAACAAACAGAGGAUGCUUUAAGCUUCUAAAUUUUCAACGGAUUUGUUACACAGCAGCAGUUGACUGAGACAAGGAAUUUCAAGCUGGAUGUGUUGGCACAUGCCUAUAAUCCUAGCAAGGAUGUGAGUUUGAGCACAGCCUGGGCAAAGACUAUGCCUCAAGGGGGGCCAGUGGUGGUGGUGGUGGGUGGGAAUAUAGCUCAGUGCAAAGGGCCUGGGCUCAAUCCCCAGUACCAGGAAGAAAAAUGAUACUUCAGUUACUGAGUGGUCACUUGUCUGAUAGCCUCAACUAUAUAGAAUAAAACUGAGCACCGAUUAACAAAGUUACAGAACAUGCACUUGGCUUCUAGAAGGGAUGUUGCAACACUCAUUCAGGACAUGUAGGAGCCUGUGUUUACCCAAAAUGUUACUGUUUGCUCAUCUCAGAGCCACAAAUGGCAUAAAAUAAUGCAAACCUGAACAGGUUUAGUGGAUUCCAGAGAGUACCAUGUUCACUUAGCUCAUUUUUAGAUGGAAGAACAGAGACCAAGACAGGUAGCUAGCGCUCUCAUGUUGACAAUGUAAAAGAAUGUCUUAAAAACAGGAAAAUAAUUCAAGAUUUCUGGUCAACCAAGUGACAUGUUUUCUCUAAUCAGCCUUCCUGUUACAAAGAAAAAGAUAAAUUUAAAGAGGUAGGAAACAAAUGGGCCUUAAGAUACAAAGAGAACAGUGAAAGAUGGCUUGAAAAGUUGGUAGGCACAAUCUUAAAGGCAUGGGAACCCCAGUUCCUGCAAAGUGAGGUCAAACAGCCCCAUUCAUGCUGUAGGAACGCCAAGGCAGCCCUCUGUUCCAGCACAGAGCAGCCCAGUACUUGAUAUUCACGGCCAUGACCCUGAGUCAGAAAGCAAAGAUUAAAUUAUGUUUCUCAUAUUCUAUUUAAAAAGGUAGAGAAGUGUGUAAUACACUCCCAGAAAUGUUCCCAUGCAAAAUGGCUAAAAUAAAUAUACGAUUUGAUGUGCAAGGGAUAAGCCGCAGUUAUGUGGAAAAUGCAUUUACAUGGAACAGUCCACGUCAGAUAAAUGAAGCAUUGCUGUUUUUGCAAAAUGUUCAGCAUGUAUUCCAAGUCUUGGCUAGUCUGAAGGUUUCUACUAAAUGAAAAAUGAGCUUUACUUGCGUCUAAAUCUGAGCUUAAGUGCACUCUCUAAAACCUUCCUGGGAAUUUUUUGGACAGGUGUCUCUUUUCAAACAGCAUAAUAUUUGGACAUUAGAUUUUAAAUAUGUACAGAUAAAAAUGAUAUUCCAAACUUGUGCUUCACUCAUAACCAGAUGGGAUAACAGUAGUGAGUUGCCGAGAGACAAUCCUUCACGGAUAGAAAGAAGAAGAAACCCUUACCUCCUCCUAACCCUGCUCAGAGGUUUGUGGCUCCAAGUUCUAGAAUGAAGGCUGUGUUAUCCCAAAUCUCUAAUAAUUUAAUAUGGUUGGAGCAACAGAAAAUUGGCUAUCUUGCUUCCACACGGGCUAACAACAUUUUCCCUUUGUAAAAUCUAGAGUUUUGGAGACAAUAAAAACAGAUGUUGCCACCUGCAGGCCCUUAAGAACUUGGAACAACGCGCUCAUUGAUCAGCAGAGGCCAGCUGCGAGCCUUUUGCGUUUUAUCUACAUGAUGAGCCCACUGCUCAUGAGGAUGGGAACUGAUAGGAAGAAAUGUCAACAAGGGUGAGCAAGACAUGUGGUCAAGCUCUUUUCUACUGCUCUUCAAAAGGCAGCCUGAAUGCAUCUAAAUAUACAAUCACAGAGUAUAAUUAAAGUCGGUAAAAAAUUCACUGAAUGCCUAUUAUGUGCCAGGCCCAGCGCUGGUUUGUUUCAUGUAUAUUAUUUCACUGAACCCUCAUCAAUAAAAUUAUUAGC
Long non-coding RNA from Heterocephalus glaber (naked mole-rat), 4474 nucleotides. NCBI's taxonomy places the organism in Eukaryota, Metazoa, Chordata, Mammalia, Rodentia, Bathyergidae. The record is from Ensembl.